Molecule: ribosomal RNA, 525 nt
Filed under: uncultured Burkholderia sp.
Lineage: Bacteria; Pseudomonadati; Pseudomonadota; Betaproteobacteria; Burkholderiales; Burkholderiaceae
Description: bacterial SSU rRNA
Rfam family: Bacterial small subunit ribosomal RNA
Source: RNAcentral
UAGUGGGGGAUAGCCCGGCGAAAGCCGGAUUAAUACCGCAUACGAUCUGAGGAUGAAAGCGGGGGACCUUCGGGCCUCGCGCUAUAGGGUUGGCCGAUGGCUGAUUAGCUAGUUGGUGGGGUAAAGGCCUACCAAGGCGACGAUCAGUAGCUGGUCUGAGAGGACGACCAGCCACACUGGGACUGAGACACGGCCCAGACUCCUACGGGAGGCAGCAGUGGGGAAUUUUGGGCAAUGGGCGAAAGCCUGAUCCAGCAAUGCCGCGUGUGUGAAGAAGGCCUUCGGGUUGUAAAGCACUUUUGUCCGGAAAGAAAUCCUUGGUUCUAAUAUAGCCGGGGGAUGACGGUACCGGAAGAAUAAGCACCGGCUAACUACGUGCCAGCAGCCGCGGUAAUACGUAGGGUGCAAGCGUUAAUCGGAAUUACUGGGCGUAAAGCGUGCGCAGGCGGUUUGCUAAGACCGAUGUGAAAUCCCCGGGCUCAACCUGGGAACUGCAUUGGUGACUGGCAGCUAGAGUAUGGCAGA